CUCACCGGCACCUUCCAGGCAGCGGCUGCCUGGAAGGUGCCGGAAGGUGGUCCCGCCCCCCAGAACUCUAAUCCAAUCAAUGCGCUACCCACUUGGAGCGCAUAUUCAAACCCACUUGGAGCGGAGCGCAUAUUCAAACCCACUUGGAGCGCAUUUGGAGCGCAUUUAACCCACUUGGUUCAACAAUUUCAAUUUCAAAGGCAAUGGAGAAGCAUUGGCUGAAGUCAAUUGAAGAUGGCUUAAAGAAGGAAAGGGACCGAAGAAGCGAACCCGUAACUAGUCUUUCCCCAGUUCUCCGACCUGUCCCACACUGCCCCAAUAAAAUAUUUAGAUAAUAUUUAUAGUGUAUUAAAUUCUGCCAUCCUUAGUGCUUAGUAAACUAAGCUGUUUGCGUGUGAAAUUUUGUUUUUACCAUUUUACUGUGUGUAUGAGGGUUGUACUUGGCCUUUAUUUUCAAUAAAGAAUAUGUCACACCCCAUCA
Long non-coding RNA from Pseudoliparis swirei, 481 nucleotides. RefSeq lists it as uncharacterized. The transcript has 2 exons. NCBI's taxonomy places the organism in Eukaryota, Metazoa, Chordata, Actinopteri, Perciformes, Liparidae. The record is from RefSeq and is a predicted model, not a curated record.